CUAAGUCGAUGGCGACCGGCGCACGGGUGAGUAACACGUAUCCAACCUGCCGAUGACUCGGGGAUAGCCUUUCGAAAGAAAGAUUAAUACCCGAUGGCAUAGUUCUUCCGCAUGGUGGAACUAUUAAAGAAUUUCGGUCAUCGAUGGGGAUGCGUUCCAUUAGGUUGUUGGCGGGGUAACGGCCCACCAAGCCUUCGAUGGAUAGGGGUUCUGAGAGGAAGGUCCCCCACAUUGGAACUGAGACACGGUCCAAACUCCUACGGGAGGCAGCAUG
Molecule: ribosomal RNA, 274 nt
Filed under: uncultured bacterium
Lineage: Bacteria
Description: partial 16S ribosomal RNA
Rfam family: Bacterial small subunit ribosomal RNA
Source: RNAcentral